CCUACGGGGUGCAGCAGUGGGGAAUAUUGCACAAUGGGCGCAAGCCUGAUGCAGCCAUGCCGCGUGCAUGAAGAAGGCCUUCGGGUUGUAAAGUACUUUCAGCGGGGAGGAAGGCGAUAAGGUUAAUAACCUUGUCGAUUGACGUUACCCGCAGAAGAAGCACCGGCUAACUCCGUGCCAGCAGCCGCGGUAAUACGGAGGGUGCAAGCGUUAAUCGGAAUUACUGGGCGUAAAGCGCACGCAGGCGGUCUGUCAAGUCGGAUGUGAAAUCCCCGGGCUCAACCUGGGAACUGCAUUCGAAACUGGCAGGCUGGAGUCUUGUAGAGGGGGGUAGAAUUCCAGGUGUUGCGGUGAAAUGCGUAGAGAUCUGGAGGAAUACCGGUGGCGAAGGCGGCCCCCUGGACAAAGACUGACGCUCAGGUGCGAAAGCGUGGGGAGCAAACAGGAUUAGAUACCCUCGUAG
This 463-nucleotide ribosomal RNA is filed under the name uncultured bacterium. Its description in RNAcentral is "bacterial SSU rRNA". It matches the Rfam family "Bacterial small subunit ribosomal RNA", at positions 338 to 793 of the family's 1533-position model. The record is from RNAcentral.